This is a long non-coding RNA of Sorghum bicolor (sorghum), 543 nucleotides long. RefSeq lists it as uncharacterized. Lineage: Eukaryota; Viridiplantae; Streptophyta; Magnoliopsida; Poales; Poaceae. The transcript has 2 exons. The record is from RefSeq and is a predicted model, not a curated record.
ACCAAAUUAUAGCGGAGGAGGACGAGAAGAUGUGCCCACCGUCGAGCUCACAGUGAAGGUGGAUGAUGAGCUCACGGUCGCGCGAUUUGUUCCUCCGCGCACCCACCUCACCAAGAUCUAAACAAGGUCUAGGCUGGAACGGGUUGAAGAACCCAAGAGGUGGUCGCUGGAAUUGGGCGGUGCACGGCGCGGGGCUUCUCGUACUGGUCCACGGGCCACAGGACGCAAUUGGGGUCGAUGCAUGCAUGGGCUGGGCAUGGGCCCCCACAUAUAACUGGCCUUUCACCUGGGCUGUGGGCUCCGUUUCACCGACCCCACCCUGUGGCGUGGGUCCCUUGCAUCCUGACGGAAUCCCAAUCAAUCAAUCAACCCACCGGCCACCGCCCAGACCUCACCUGUUGCUGCCGUCCGGCGCAGUCCGGCUGUUUUUUUUUUUUCUUUUCUUCUUUCCUGCAUCUCGACACCCUGUGUGACCUUGUAAUUUGCAAUAUGAAUGUACAAGUACUUCCGCAGUUUAAAAACCAUUAUUAUUUGAGCAGACAA